CCUAUAUGCUCUACGGCAGGAAGACCUCGUGCACUUACUGCAAACGGGACGCGAAGAGACACACUUGGAAGUACAGAAGCACGAUUUGGGAGCAGAAGGCUGACGGGCCGCUGACGCACACCAACUUUGACGGCGAGGAUGAGGCUGUGCCGACGGCGCCACCCCUGGACGUGCUGGACUCGGUGCCCGGCUACGAGGCGCUCGGGUUCGAUGCCGGUAUCACAUGGAAUAUACGAG
This 237-nucleotide long non-coding RNA is filed under the name Pollicipes pollicipes. Its description in RNAcentral is "uncharacterized LOC119099318, transcript variant X1". Lineage: Eukaryota; Metazoa; Arthropoda; Thecostraca; Pollicipedomorpha; Pollicipedidae. The record is from RNAcentral.